AGCGUGCAGGAUGACGGCCCUAUGGGUUGUAAACUGCUUUUAUAAGGGAAUAAAGUGAGUCUCGUGAGACUUUUUGCAUGUACCUUAUGAAUAAGGACCGGCUAAUUCCGUGCCAGCAGCCGCGGUAAUACGGAAGGUCCGGGCGUUAUCCGGAUUUAUUGGGUUUAAAGGGAGCGUAGGCCGGGGAUUAAGCGUGUUGUGAAAUGUAGACGCUCAACGUCUGCACUGCAGCGCGAACUGGUUUCCUUGAGUACGCACAAAGUGGGCGGAAUUCGUGGUGUAGCGGUGAAAUGCUUAGAUAUCACGAAGAACUCCGAUUGCGAAGGCAGCUCACUGGAGCGCAACUGACGCUGAAGCUCGAAAGUGCGGGUAUCGAACAGGAUUAGAUACCCUGGUAGUCCGCACGGUAAACGAUGGAUGCCCGCUGUUGGUCUGAAUAGGUCAGCGGCCAAGCGAAAGCAUUAAGCAUCCCACCUGGGGAGUACGCCGGCAACGGUGCAACUCAAAG
Molecule: ribosomal RNA, 508 nt
Filed under: uncultured Bacteroidota bacterium
Lineage: Bacteria; Pseudomonadati; Bacteroidota
Description: bacterial SSU rRNA
Rfam family: Bacterial small subunit ribosomal RNA
Source: RNAcentral